UGGUGGAGCGAUUUGUCUGGUCAACUCCGAUAACGAACGAGACUCUAGCUUACUAAAUAGUUCGGGGACCCCCACAAGAGGCCCCGCUUUAACUUCUUAGAGGGACAGGUGGCGUUUAGCCACACGAGAUUGAGCAAUAACA
This 142-nucleotide ribosomal RNA is filed under the name uncultured eukaryote. Its description in RNAcentral is "partial 18S ribosomal RNA". It matches the Rfam family "Eukaryotic small subunit ribosomal RNA", at positions 1299 to 1458 of the family's 1831-position model. The record is from RNAcentral.